This 497-nucleotide ribosomal RNA is filed under the name uncultured bacterium. RNAcentral describes it as "bacterial SSU rRNA". It matches the Rfam family "Bacterial small subunit ribosomal RNA", at positions 8 to 487 of the family's 1533-position model. The record is from RNAcentral.
AGAGUUUGAUCCUGGCUCAGGACGAACGCUGGCGGCGUGCCUAAUACAUGCAAGUCGAGCGAACCAAUAAGAAGCUUGCUUUUUGUUGGUUAGCGGCGGACGGGUGAGUAACACGUGGGUAACCUGCCUGUAAGACCGGGAUAACUCCGGGAAACCGGUGCUAAUACCGGAUAGAUUAUCUUUCCGCCUGGAGAGAUAAGGAAAGAUGGCUUUUGCCAUCACUUACAGAUGGGCCCGCGGCGCAUUAGCUAGUUGGUGAGGUAAUGGCUCACCAAGGCGACGAUGCGUAGCCGACCUGAGAGGGUGAUCGGCCACACUGGGACUGAGACACGGCCCAGACUCCUACGGGAGGCAGCAGUAGGGAAUCUUCCGCAAUGGACGAAAGUCUGACGGAGCAACGCCGCGUGAGCGAAGAAGGUCUUCGGAUCGUAAAGCUCUGUGUUAGGAAAGAACAAGUAUCGGAGGAAAUGCCGGUACCUUGACGGUACCUGACGAGA